ACGGACCUUUCGGGGUUAGUGGCGGACGGGUGAGUAACGCGUAGGGAUCUGUCCACGAGAGGGGGAUAACUUUGGGAAACUGGAGCUAAUACCGCAUGAUACCUGAGGGUUAAAGGAGAGAUCCGCUUGUGGAGGAACCUGCGUUUGAUUAGCUAGUUGGUGGGGUAAAGGCCUACCAAGGCGAUGAUCGAUAGCUGGUUUGAGAGGAUGAUCAGCCACACUGGGACUGAGACACGGCCCAG
Molecule: ribosomal RNA, 242 nt
Filed under: uncultured bacterium
Lineage: Bacteria
Description: partial 16S ribosomal RNA
Rfam family: Bacterial small subunit ribosomal RNA
Source: RNAcentral